This 5103-nucleotide long non-coding RNA is filed under the name Homo sapiens (human). Its description in RNAcentral is "PREDICTED lncRNA (TCONS_00226338)". Lineage: Eukaryota; Metazoa; Chordata; Mammalia; Primates; Hominidae. The record is from RNAcentral.
CUUGGAUGAGAAAAGAGCCUACAGGGUCUUUUAGAUCAUCACAGUUAAAUUAUACUUGGCUAAUAUAGUUUGAAUAUUUAGUACAAUUUCAUGUUCAAAACUUCUGAAACACUUUUAUUCACAUGUAGACCAUAUAAUACUUAUAUUAUAGUAGACCAUCCUAUUUCACAAUCAAAUUAUACAACAGUAUACUAAAUUAUCAUAUCAGUUUUUUGUUUCUUUAAUAGUUGCUAAUAUAUGUGUAUAGUUGUGAACAUACCUGUAUAUGUGUAUGUGAUAUGUAUAUAUAUCAACUGUAUAGUUAAAACACCACAUGUAUAGAAGAGACCAUCUGACUAGUAUUUAAGCUUAGCCAUGAGAAUGGAAUUUGGAAGAUGAAGAAUGUGACCUGGAGGAAAGAAGAAAAUGAUUACAGAGGGGCAUUUGAGAGUGAGAGGAUAGAGAAGAGAGAAAGAGGUUGAGGAAAGAAGAUAUCAGAGUCCCCUCACUGCCCUCCCCAUUAACACACUCAAGGCUAAGCUAGUGAGGGGAGAGUAUCUUUGGGAUACUGGACAAAAUAUGGAAUUCCAAGAACCAGGAAGCUUUUGUCUUAUUCUAAAAGGAUAUAACUUGCAGGCUGUCUCCAGAUCAAUUGAGUGGUAGAUCCAUAUUACAAAUAAACAUGAUAGCAGAGUGUGAUUAGGCAGAAGAAGGUGCAUCUCAGCACCUCCUUCUGUGUAAUGUGGAAAUGAGCAGCUAUUGUAGUGGGAAUGAGCAACUCCACAGUAAAGGCAUUAGGCUGUGCCAUCUGGGCAGUGGAUGACAGAGAUAUCAGUGUGUGGCUGGGGUCUGAAGCCUGUUCAGGGUCAAGAUGAGCCUAAGUCAUCCAGAAAGGCUGAUGAAAUCAGCAAAAGUCAGCCAGACAAAGGGCACUGUCAAGGCCAUCAUAUGGCUCUAAGCAUCCCUUUUCCCACCUCCUCAAGAGCACCAAGAAAGACACCAACAUCCAUUGCCAAUUUCCUUCUCCUUGCCAGUAGGGAGGCUGAAAAAAAACAGAUACUCUCUUUCUAUUAAUAUAUCUUCCUUAUAGAGUAGGAUGGAUAUUUGGCUAAGUAUUGAUCAAUAAGAUAAAGUGGAAUUUGCUGGGUGGUGGGCGGGGGUCCUUUGUGUAAUAAUUUUGUGUCUUGAUAAAGUAGGAAUAUGGCUGGGACCAUCCCUGACUCUCUUUUUUCCUUGAAUGUGAACACAUGAGUGAAGCAUACAUCCAUUGUCCAUGGGGCAAGAAACAUGAGGAUGAAAAGCCAAUAUGUUAAGGACAUGAAGUGAAAAGCGGGAAGAGCUUCUUAUUCAUGUUAUCACUGAGCAGCGGGAACUGGGGGCUCUGCUCAUUAUAGUUGCCCACGGCCUCCAGUCAAUGAAAUUUCCGGCCAAUGAAAUGCUCUACUGUGACUGAAGCAGCAAAGAGAAGAUGGGUGGCUUUGAAAUCAGAAUUGGAUGCAGAGGGAGUCCCAGAGGCCAACACUGUGAACAUAAGAAGGGAAAGACCAGUUCUGCAAGCACAGAUGUAAUUUUGAGAAGCAGAGCUACAGUUCUGCCGGAGGCCUCUCCAGAUUGUGAUGCACUGGGAGCAAGCCACCAUGAACAUAUCCUCAGGUCUCCAGUCUUCUGCCAUCGCAUGAAAAAUGGAGCUUGUCAAACACAGAGCAGAGCUGAACUUUCUGAAUUCCACAGGACAGUUCAGAGUGCUUGGAAUGACACCCACCUGCAAUUUAAACAAAAAAGAAGGAUGAUUUGCUGCUACAUUUGUGUGGGAAGUGCUGCUUGCCGAUAGGGAAGUAGGAGAGGAAAUAAGGAAAACAAUAAACCAAGUACAGUUUUGCAAAUACCCAGACACAUUGGAUGGACACAGAAGCUUUCACUGGGAGAUUAUGAAGGGUAGAUGCUUUGUGUCUCCAUUGCCUCCUGUGAUGUGACCUCACAUUACAAGCCACUGUGGUUGGAACUGCUGGCAAAAUGGAAAGAACCAGGAAGAACAUCAAAGGAGAGUUUUAAAAGGAUAUGAAAUGUAUUAAUUUGUCGUAAUUAUCUACUUUUGAUAGAAGAAUCUCAGAGGUACUUAAGUUGAUGUCUUGGACCUUCAGUCCAGUGCUGACAUCUUGUAAAAUGUCUUAAGUUCCUACCAGGUAAUUUCUGCUUUCUGUCACAAAGCAGGAGAGAAGUUCCAGGAGGAAGUCAUGUAUUUUUCUCAUCUUUAGGUAUAUUAUAUGUAUACCCCAUAUUUCCCUAUAUUAUACUUACACAUAUAUUUAUGUUACACUUUCUAUUUCUCUUAUUUACGUACAUUAUUAACAAAAAAUUUUUGGAAGAUUGUAGAAAUAAGACAUGUAGGCAUUUGAAAUUUUGUGAGAAAGAGCAUGUCAGAUUUGGGAGUUAGGGAUUUUUAGACAUUGCCAUAAGAGGUAAGUAAAUGCUGACACCUUGCCUAUAGUUAAUAAAAAUAUAUUAUACAUUUGAAGUUUUCUAAGAGAGUAGAUUUAAAAUUUUCUCACUAUACACACACACAAUAUAUAUAUAACUAUGUUAGGUGAUUAACGUUAAUUAGCUUGAUUAUGGUAAUCAUUUCACAACAUAGACAUAUAUCAAAACAUCACAUUGUAUGCUUUGAAUACAUACCAUUUUUAUUUGUCAACCAUUCCCCAAUAAAGCUGGAAAAAACAAGACUUCAUUCCUGUCAAAUCUACUUCUCAGGGACCUACUCCAAGGGAGUCGCCAUUCCUUCAUUUUAUUAUUAAAUUGCUUCUUCAUAGAAAACCUAUCUUCGGUGAAAAAAUUAGACUCCAGAAAUGAUAUUUUGCCAGAAACAUCUCUAAAAGCCUUUUUAUCUCCCUGAUGAACUCAAUGUAGCUAUGGAAAUUUGAAUUCCCUAUCUGGGGUCAGCUUCAGAAAUGUGUUUAUUUAUGUGCUUCGAAUUGACUUAUCAACUAAUGAACCAAGAAACAAUUUUUCUUUUGGCUGUGUUUUAAAAGGGUCUUGCUCAAAUUUUAAAGGUUGGGGCAUUUUAGAGUCAGAUUUGUUUCAUAAUUUUUCUAUGUAACAUAUUCACUUCCCAUUAAAAUGUAAUUUUCCCUACCAAUAAGGUGUUAGGCUUCUGAUCCCUCAGGGGAACUGUGGUUGACAUGAGCAUUACCUCAUCCAAAUGUAUGUUCCCAGUGAACCUGUCAUCGAGUGGACUUGAUGCCUUCAUUUUUUCCUUUUGUAGCAAGAUGCCUAACUGGUUACUUAUGCAAGCAUUGUUAUUGAAAUUAGGGGGAGUAAGGGGAAUAAAAAAUGUAUGGAAAUUAUGAGUGUUAGAACUGAGCACAAUCAUUGCAGCAUCUGAUGCAGACAUUUCAGGGUAAGCGAAGUAGUCUCUUCAGAAUAAAAAUGAGGGUAAUUAGACUCAAUUCAUUUAUUCAACACUUGGGUCAAGUCCAUGAACUCUACAAAGAUAACUGUGCCAUGGAUUUUGCUCUCUAGAGUGGUAAGACACGUAUAUGGUUUGUCUACUCAUUCAGCAAACACUUUCUGGGCAUGUUUUGUCUCCUGAGGUCAGCUCUGGAGAUACAAUGGUACAUGGCACAAAUCUUUGCAAGUGCUAAAUAUAAUACCUGAUAUUAAUAGGCUGUGAGUGAAGAGCACAAAAUGUGUAGUGGGUGUUCCUGGGAUACAGUAGCUCUGUGCAUGUAGAAGGGAUUAGUAAGGGCCUCGUGAAGGAGACAGCAUUUGUUCUGGGACUUGAAGGAAAGACAGGAUUGGAAAUGUAGAGAUGCUAAGGAAGGUUGUCCUCAAUAGAGAAAAUGCCAUAGCUGAAGGCCCCUCAUAUGCUAUUCUUAUCUAACUAUGUGAUUCUAAGCUCAGGUGAUCCAAAGAGGCUCCUCAGAGUUGUGGCAAACUGAAGCCAGUGGUGUAGGUUGAAAGGAAUCUGAGAGAAGAUCAACACCCAGGAGAAUCUAAGGUCCCAUUGUGGGUGAAUCAUUUUGGGCCAUGUUUCAGAACAAAAUUUCCACAGACUCACUACCAAAUACUCAUGGACUUAUAUUUUUGGUUCAGAGGUUUGAUGAAAAACUCUGGAAGCCUAUUGCAGAGAACUGAAUAAGGUAAAAAUCUACCUUUUACUGGACACAUCGUUUAGGAAGCAAAUUAGUCUCCGUUAUCAGAAAGUUCCAAGGGGGAAUCUAAAAUGUGAUACUUUGCUCAGCAGCUGACAGUAUUUUUGCUACAUUUUCAACUUGCCUUCAAUUCUGUUUAUUUCGCUUGUCUAAUUUACUAUCUAGGUAAUUUAAACAAUGAGAAUACAGUGACCCGCAAUUUUCCUAAUUUAAAGGUAUCUCUUCUGCAAUAUUAAAUUUGCAUCUACAUUGCCUGCCUAACAAGACUGUCACCUCCUUGAGGUCAAUGUGAUGUUAUCUAAUUUUUUAGAUAACAUCUAUGUCUCUAAUAGAUCUAUCUGUGCAAUAGAACCAUACAGUCCUUCGUAGAUAGGGGAAGCACAAAUGUUGGUUAAUAUUUAACAGAGUAUCAGACCUGCAUCCUUCUCUCUAAGAGCUCAAACUUCAGAGAGUAGAUUCAGAGAGUAAAUGUUUUCCCAGGCUCAGGCAAGAGGGGUGGUUUGUAUGUUAUUUCUUUCUUAUUUUCCAGUUAGACUUUUGGAAAUCUGCCAGAUGCAAUUGAAAAACCCUGCUCAGCUUUGUCCAAUGUCUCAUUUGAGGAUCAGCAUGAGUUUGUUUACUUGAGAUUAACAGGAGUCAAGGAUAUACAAAUUCAGCAAUGUAUGGAUAACUUUCCCCUUUUUAACGCUGGCCUCACCACAAAACUACCACCAUAUUGUUGAAUUUUGGAAGUUUAUUAUGCUUUAUUUUUUCCUAUAAAAAAAUAAAUGUCAUCACAUUGUAAUAGUUUUAUAACCUGUUUUAUCAUAUUUUAAAAUACAUCUUGAAUAUUCUUUCAUAUAAUUAAUCUUCUACAGCAUAAUUUUAAUAUCUAUGAAGAUUCCAUUAUGUGCUUGUAUUAUACAUUUUUACUCUGAAUACAUUAUUGUUGUAAACAAUGCUUACAAUUAUGAAAAUAAAUAUAUAUGGCUCAUUU